RNAcentral lists this ribosomal RNA (258 nucleotides) under uncultured bacterium. RNAcentral describes it as "partial 16S ribosomal RNA". It matches the Rfam family "Bacterial small subunit ribosomal RNA", at positions 96 to 354 of the family's 1533-position model. The record is from RNAcentral.
UGGCGGACGGGUGAGUAACGCGUGGAAAACCUGCCGUAUACUGGGGGAUAACACUUAGAAAUAGGUGCUAAUACCGCAUAAGCGCACAGCUUCGCAUGAAGCGGUGUGAAAAACUCUGGUGGUAUACGAUGGUUCCGCGUCUGAUUAGCUAGUUGGUGGGGUAAUGGCCUACCAAGGCAACGAUCGGUAGCCGGCCUGAGAGGGUGAACGGCCACAUUGGGACUGAGACACGGCCCAAACUCCUACGGGAGGCAGCAG